RNA transcript from Capsicum annuum, 1819 nucleotides. It is a transcript of the gene named protein FATTY ACID EXPORT 1, chloroplastic, with no coding region annotated. The record is from RefSeq and is a predicted model, not a curated record. Lineage: Eukaryota; Viridiplantae; Streptophyta; Magnoliopsida; Solanales; Solanaceae. The transcript is spliced from 8 exons.
CCCAAGUCUCAAACCAUUUUUCACUUUUUUUUAAAUUCAUAUAAAAACGCAACUUUGAAUAUUCCAAUAUUUUCUCAAAAAAAAAAAAAAAUUAAAAGUGAAUCAAGAAUGUCAUCAACAAUUUCUCAGCUCUCAUGCUUCUCCUCUAUCAAUAAAAAUUUUCUGUUACAAACUUAUCUACACCCUUGUUCUACUCUUCCUAGGAAGGUAGCGGUUGUGAGAAAUGAUGGCCAUGACAUGGAUUUAUCCAAUUUAGAAAACAGAACCACUAUAGCUUAUACUAGAGAUGCAUCACAAUCACAUAACGGAAGCUCAUCCACUUCAAAAUUAAAGUCAGAAGAACUUGUUCCAGGAAAAGAAAUGAAUGGUUCGGUGCAAGAAAACUCCAUCGGUCAUUCAAUAAAGACGGCCAAAAUUCAUGAUUUCUGUUUUGGUAUUCCCUUUGGUGGUCUUGUUUUCACUGGGGGAAUUGUUGGUUUAAUUUUCUCAAGAAACCCUGCGACUUUAAGUAAUGGUGUUCUUUUUGGAGGUGCUUUACUGGCCUUCAGCACCAUUAGCUUGAGGGUCUGGAGACAAGGAAAAUCGAGCUUGCCGUUCAUACUGGGUCAAGCAGCACUUACUGCAGUCCUUCUAUGGAAAAACAUACAGACUUUCUCUCUGACGAGAAAAGUAUUUCCCACUGGCUUUUAUGCCGCUAUCAGUGCUGCAAUGUUUUGCUUCUACUCUUAUGUGGUAUUGUCAGGGGGGAAUCCGCCACCCAAGAAGCUGAAGGUAUCUGCCGUUAGGGAAUCUUGACAAGAAUAUAGAAAGCAUAGUUCAAACAAAUGAGCUGCUAUAUUGCUUGGACUCCCCAAAAUGUUGUGUUACUCAUAUCGGAUCCUCCAAAAAUGCUGCAAAAUGCACCUGUCGGUGUCUGUAAGAGUCCGAGCAACAUAAAUGACAUGGGCCUACUGCGACACAGUUCAAACGAACGAGCUGCUAUAUUGCUUGGACUCCCUAAAAUGUUGUGUUACUCAUAUCAGAUCCUCCAAAAUUGCUGCAACAUGCACCUGUCGGCAUCUGUAAGAGUCCGAGCAACAUAAGUGACACGAGCCUAACUCAUACAUCACGUGUUAUGCUCUUACCACCGGAUCAAAGCCGUGGGACUCCUUACUAUUAGGAUGGGAUUUUUGACAAUAAUAUACGCGGUGACGUGGCAAGCUUUGAAGUAAGCCCAAGAAAACAGUCGAUGUCUGAUAUCUACAUUUGAGCCUCGACUGAUUCAGAUUCAUGUCAUGUUCAAGUUCGAACCCGAGGCCUCUAGUAAGAGUGGAGAGGAAUCUUGCUGUCCCAUCAUAUUCAGAAUCUAGUUAUGCCUGUGUUGUACUUUUAGGUGGUCUUGUAAUGUGUUCCAUUUAGUGGCUUAUUACAGUCACAAAUUUAAUGCCACUUUGACAUUGGAUAUUCUACUGAAAUAGAAUAUUCCAAUAUUUGUGGCACUAAAGUUUGGUCUCGAGUCGGGGGUCUAUCGGAAACAGCCUCUCUACCUCGCCUCAGAGGUAUUGGUACGGACUGCGUACAUUCUACCCUCUCCAGACUCCACUACACUAUGUGGAAAUAUACUCGAUAUGUUGUUAUUUGGAUUAACGGUAAGGAAAGCCGUAUGCAUGAUGUGUGAGUUAGGCGCAUGUCACGACAGAUGAUGUGAUGUGUGAUUGAGGCUCACAUCACGGGUUCAAGGGGGCAAGCCUAUUAUUCAUCGAGUUCCUAACCGUGCACCAUGGGUUGAGAAUUUCUCGAGUGUCGAUAAUGUAAGUGUUUUUUUUUUUUUUACGUAAAU